UAAGAAGUAACGUUUUGUUCACGACCCAGGGUAAGAUCCACCCGCAAAUCGACAGUAGCUAGCCACGCACCUUAGCCUGCAAGAACAUGUUAAUUAAUAUGUUAGCUUUGAUCCCUUGAUUAUGUAAGUUGUUGUUAAGAUCUUCCUGCUUUGAGUGUGAAAAUAAGAUUAGUGUUUGUGCGCUAAAGUUUGAUGGACAUUGACAAGUUCUCAAUUCUUUUAAGUAGUCAUCAGAGUAGUGAAACGGAAGGAUACAUUUACUUACGAAGGGAAGUGAUGGUUUCAAGUAAAUAAGUAAGUGAGAAAUUCUGUAGACGGAUAACCGUUGUUUAUGUAGCAUUGUGUGGUCGCGGGAGUACACAGAGUUGCAAGUAAAUGUAAAGUAAGCGUGUUCAUAUGAAAAGAAAUCACCGUUGAGAAUUCAAGGACGAAUUCUAUUUAAGUGGGGGAGAAUUGUAACAACCCCCUCCCAUAUUAUUGGGUGAAUUUGUUUUGACAUAAUGAUACAAGCCCAAUAAAGUCCAAUAGCUUCCUAAACAACUAGGGUUUGGUGUUUGUAUGUGGUCAUAUAUGUGUAGAAGCGUAAACAUCUCCCUCUUCAUUAGAAACGCCGUCAAGAGAAGAAUAGAGAGAGAGACAUAGAUAGACACAGAGAGAGAGAGAGAGAAAAGAGAAUUAUGGCAAAGGCAACGUGAUCACCACCGGAGCUUCACGUAGUCACCGUCGUUCACUUCCCCCACCGGAGCCGAGAUCCAUGGCACUAGUUUGUUUGGGUAAGAAAAUCCUGACAUAAUUGUGUCUUCUUCGUCUACAAACCCUUGUUUUGAUAUGUUGGAUCCUUAUAUUAAAUCUGAGUUUUAUUAUGAAGAAGAAGAAGAGAAAACUGUGGCAAGUAAGGGUUUUGUGGAUUGAUUUCCCGUUGAAGCUAAAAGAGUUAUAUUGAUAUAUUGACUUCUCUGAAUCGAUCUCGUUGCAAGGAAGCCAUAGCAAUUGACGGUUUAUCAAACGGAGAUUCAAGUUGGGGUUUUGUAAGGCUCAUAUCUGUCAAAGCAUAGAGAAUCAGUUGACUUUUAAGGUGUCUCUGGAAAGCUCAUAUUGUCAAGAAUGCACAGCAUGUGACGAAGAUUAAAUAGAGGUUAUAUUCAAGAAGUUAUGAAUGUUUCUUUCUAGCAAAGUAACUGCACAAACUGUCCAAAUCUGUGCCAAGUACGAACCAGAAAAUAGUUCUGAGAUGGGUGAUUGAGGGCAACGUUUGGAGGUCGAAACAAUGUCUGAUCGGGACGAAAUUUGGUGGAGAGCUUUAUGGUACUAAUGGAUAGAUAAUCAACGGUGGGAUUGCGUUUAUAACGGUUAUUUAUUGACUUAUGCAUAUAUUUCCGAGACAGAUUUGUGUGAAGUAAAUUGUGACGAGUUUAUGUUGUUGGUUGGGUAAACGAGCUUGGUUUGAGCUGAAGCUUUUUAGGAGCUUUCAUGACUCUUGGAGUAAGGUCUUGGUUGGUGUAGAGCUAAGAAGCAUGUGGUUUUAGUUAAGACAUUAAGUUUUUCUAAAGGAGAAAGGAGUCAAGAAAUGUUAUUCAUCUUCACCUAGGCUAGGGUGAGGGUGGUAUUUGCGAAGCAUACUAUCAUUUUCUUUUGUUAUGCUUCUUGACGCAUGAUAUGUAGGCUUAGAUUUGAUUGUAUAGGAUAAGAUUAUGUGAAGAUCUGUGACUUGAUGAUUGUUGACUUUGAUAUGUGUUAGUAUGAUGUUUGAUAAGGUGAUGUUAUGUAUGAGAAUGUUAAAUAUGAUUAUGAGUAUGUAUGAAUGAUGGAGAGUGAUGGACCGACGGGUUAACAGCUGCUCAAGAACAGUUGACGAGCCCGGAAUGGGAGUGUCUGAGCCACGAGGGCCACCCUCCACUCAGGAGGUUCUAGUUGUCACGAGGAUGACUGGACCUAACGAUGUAUAUGUAUGGUUAUGUGAUUAAGAUGAAUGUCAUGAAUGUUGUUAUGUUUAGCAAGUAAAGAAUGUUAUGUGAUUGCUAGUGUCUAAGUUUAUAUGUUAUGAUUAUGGUUGCAUAGCUUAAGAAAGUGUUUUAUGUUUUAGUGGGCAGAGUUGAUUCCCCUCACUGAGUAUUCUUUACUCACCCUUUUUUUCCCUUUUUCCUCAGGUGAAUCAGCUUCAUGAGUUGUUGUGCAAUGUUUUGUUCGUGGGUGAAGUUUAAAGAAAAUGUUUUGGCAAGAUCGGAUAAAUAACAUGCUGUCUUGGCCUGGAUGGAGGGACAGGUGUUACAGAAAGAACAAGAUCUUGAAUUUGGUUUCUUUCGAUAGAUCUUGCUGCAUGGAAUAAGAAGUAACGUUUUGUUUCACGACCCAGGGUAAGAUCCACCCGCAAAUCGACAGUAGCUAGCCACGCACCUGAGCCUGCACGAACAUGUUAAUUAAUAUGUUAGCUUUGAUCCCUUGAUUAUGUAAGUUGUUGUUAAGAUCUUCCUGCUUUGAGUGUGAAAAUAAGAUUAGUGUUUGUGCGCUAAAGUUCGAUGGGCAUUGACAAGUUAUCAAUUCUUUUAAGUAGUCAUCAGAGUAGUGCAACAGAAAGAUACAUUUACUUACGAAGGUAAGUGACGGUUUCAAGUAAAUAAGUAAGUGAGAAGUUCUGUAGACGGAUAAUUGUUGUUUAUGUAGCAUUGUGUGGUCGGGGGAGUACACAGAGUUGCAAGAAAAUGUAAAGUAAGCGAGUUCAUAUGAAAAGAAAUCACCGUUGAGAAUUCGAGGACGAAUUCUAUUUAAGUGGAGGAGUAUUGUUACAACCCCCUCCCAUAUUAUUGGGUCAAUUUGUUUUGACAUAAUGAUACAAGCCCAAUAGCUUCCUAAACAACUAGGGUUGGGUGUUUGUAUGUGGUCAUAUAUAUGUAGAAGCGUAAACAUCUCCCUCUUCAUUAGAAACGCCGUCAAGAGAAGAAUAGAGAGAGAGAGAGACAGAGAUAGACAGAGAGAGAGAGAAAAGAGAAUUAUGGCAAAGGCAACGUGAUCAACACCGGAGCUUCACGUAGUCAUCGUCGUUCACUUCCCCCACCGGAGCCGAGAUCCAUCGCACUAGUUUGUUUGGAAGAAGAGAAAACUGUGGCAAGUAAGGGUUUUGUGGAUUGAUUUCCCGUUGAAGCUAAAAGAGUUAUAUUGAUAUAUUGACCUCUCUGAAUCGAUCUCGUUGCAAGGAAGCCAUAGCAAUUGACGGUUUGUCAAACGGAGUUAUAUUCCAUUCAGCAUUUGUCUUGUAAGUUGAUGAAAAGUCACUUGUUCUGAAUUCUGGAAAACCUAAGUUAUUUCAGAUAAAAUUUCAGAUUCAAGUUGGGGUUUUGUAAGGCUCAUAUCUGUCAAAGCAAAGAGAAUCAGUUGACGUUUAAGGUGUCUCUGGAAAGCUCAUAUUGUCAAGAAUGCACAACAUGUGACGAAGAUUAAAUAGAGGUUAUAUUCAAGAAGUUAUGAAUGUUUCUUUCUGGCAAAGUAAUUGCAGAAACUGUCCAAAUCUGUGCCAAGUAUGAACCAGAAAACAGUUCCGAGAUGGGUGAUUGAUGGCAACGUUUGGAGGUCGAAAUAAUGUCUGAUCGGGACGAAAUUUGGUGGAGAGCUUUAUGGUACUACUGGAUAGAUAAUCAACGGUGGGAUUGCGUUUACAACGGUUAGUUCUUGACUUAUGCAUAUGUUUCCGAGACAUAUUUGUGUGAAGUAAAUUGUGACGAGUUUGUGUUGUUGGUUGGGUAAACGAGCUCGGUUUGAGCUGAAGCUUUGUAGGAGCUUUCAUGACUCUUGGAGUAAGGUCUUGGUUGUUGUAGAACUAAGGAACAUGUGGUUGCAGUUAAGACAUUAAGUUUGUCUAAAGGAGAAAGGAGUCGAGAAAUGUUAUUCAUCUUCAACUAGGCUAAUGUGAGGGUGGUAUUUGCGAAGCAUAGUAUCAUUUUCUUUUGUUAUGCUUCUUGACGCAUGAUAUGUAGGCUUAGAUCUGAUUGUAUAUGAUAAGAUUUUGUGAUGAUAUGUGACUUGAUGAUUUAGGGUUUAUAUUUUCAUGGUGUUAUUUGAGAUUUAGGGUUUAUAUUUUCAUUAUGCAGACAUGGUUUUCUUUU
Arabidopsis lyrata subsp. lyrata is the source of this 4097-nucleotide long non-coding RNA. RefSeq lists it as uncharacterized. The record is from RefSeq and is a predicted model, not a curated record. The transcript has 3 exons. NCBI's taxonomy places the organism in Eukaryota, Viridiplantae, Streptophyta, Magnoliopsida, Brassicales, Brassicaceae.